CAAGACACAGAGUAGAUCAGAAUACAGAGAGGGAGACAGACGGCCAAAAAUGGACACGGUAGAGAUAAAAGUGAGGGAAAAUGAAAGGCAAAAAUUACAGAGAGAGACACGAUGAAACACCAAAUUGGUGAAUGUGUAUUAUAAGCAGCCUUUGAAAAAAUGCUGGCACAGCGAGUUUGUGGCAAAGCAUCCGAAACCUGCCUGAGAGGCCUCGGUAGCAAAAGAAGCUUCUUACAGACGUGAAACCAUCUUAUUUUAGGUCAUUUCUUUGCAAGUGAGUGUGAAAAUCACGGAGCCGUUCCUGUCUGUGGCACAAUCAUAAGUCGAGCAGAUAAACAAAGUGGAAAAGACAAACAAAACAACAAAGAGAUGAAAGAUGAGACGAAAAUCCCCAUAGUCUCACCUCGUAACUAAAGAGAACACAAAGUAUUAUAUUUGCAGCACAUCUACGUGUCUAAUUAAAUGCUUUUGUUUCUUUAAUCUGCUCCGCGGUGCAACUCCACACUUAAUCCUUUAACAAGAGACUUUUCAUCAAAACCCUUUGAAGCAUUAAGAAUAAACCUCGGCGGCCUCGAAGCAAAGCGCCGCGCCGCUGUUUGGGCCGAGGGGAGGUGCCCCUGAGGUCAGGCGGGGUCACGCCGCUCCCGACAGGAAGCUGCAUGGGGACGCACACGACAGCCCGCGAGCCGCCUCUGACUGAAGGCAGAAGUCCUCCGUCUCUCGAGCUCGUCCUCCCGUUUUGUGGUCGAGCGUCGUCCCCGCGGGAACCCGGAGAGGCUCGCGGCGGCCGCAGGAGGAGGAGAGACGAAGGCGCCUUUGACGUAAUUGUAGCAUUUG
Molecule: long non-coding RNA, 837 nt
Organism: Gasterosteus aculeatus aculeatus (three-spined stickleback)
Lineage: Eukaryota; Metazoa; Chordata; Actinopteri; Perciformes; Gasterosteidae
Source: Ensembl